AACGAACGCUGGCGGCAGGCUUAACACAUGCAAGUCGAGCGCCCCGCAAGGGGAGCGGCAGACGGGGGAGUAACGCGUGGGAACGUACCCUCUACUACGGAAUAACGACGGGAAACUUGUGCUAAUACCGUAUGUGCCCUUUGGGGGAACGAUUUAUCGGUAAAGGAUCGGCCCGCGUUGGAUUAGCUAGUUGGUGGGGUAUAGGCCUACCAAGGCGACGAUCCAUAGCUGGUCUGAAAGGAUGAUCAGACACAUUGGGACUGAGACACGGCCCAGACUCCUACGGGAGGCAGCAGUGGGGAAUAUUGGACAAUGGGCUCAAGCCUGAUCAGACAUGCCGCGUGAGUGAUGAAGGCCUUAGGGUUGUAAAGCUCUUUCACCGGGGAAGAUAAUGACGGUACCCGGAGAAGAAGCCCCGGCUAACUUCGUGCCAGCAGCCGCCGUAA
This 446-nucleotide ribosomal RNA is filed under the name uncultured bacterium. RNAcentral describes it as "partial 16S ribosomal RNA". It matches the Rfam family "Bacterial small subunit ribosomal RNA", at positions 29 to 523 of the family's 1533-position model. The record is from RNAcentral.